This 368-nucleotide unclassified non-coding RNA is filed under the name Hevea brasiliensis (rubber tree). The record is from RNAcentral. Lineage: Eukaryota; Viridiplantae; Streptophyta; Magnoliopsida; Malpighiales; Euphorbiaceae.
AGACAAUGCAUCAAUCUUUACAUAGUCAGGUGAAACAAAUCAGUCAGUUCUCCCUGGGAAACAAUCAUAUUCAGGUGCCAAAACUCUGAAACUGGCACCGAUCCAAAACAUAGAAAGUAUCAUGCAGAUGAAAGCCAAUCAUCACCUCCCACGCACACUGGCAGGUGAUCGAGCACCUUUAUCACUGCUAAUGUCUUCAUCAAUUUCACUUCCAUCAAUGCACACAACGUUGUUACUUACACUCACUUCAGAACUAGCAUUACUGCUCGUGGCAAGUGGGGAGUCAGGCACGCUAAUUGACCUGCUUGUCCUGCCUCUAGUAGGCGGCCCUGAUCUCACACUGUACAUAGAGGAUGCUGGAAUAUUAG